CAUCCAGAGAACUUGGCAGAGAUGCCUUGGGUGCCUUCGGGACCUCUGAGACAGGUGCUGCAUGGCUGUCGUCAGCUCGUGUUGUGAAAUGUUGGGUUAAGUCCCGNAACGAGCGCAACCCCUAUCCUUUGUUGCCAGCGAUUCGGUCGGGAACUCAAAGGAGACUGCCGGUGAUAAACCGGAGGAAGGUGGGGAUGACGUCAAGUCAUCAUGGCCCUUACGAGUAGGGCUACACACGUGCUACAAUGGCGCAUACAAAGAGAAGCGACCUCGCGAGAGCAAGCGGACCUCAUAAAGUGCGUCGUAGUCCGGAUCGGAGUCUGCAACUCGACUCCGUGAAGUCGGAAUCGCUAGUAAUCGUAGAUCAGAAUGCUACGGUGAAUACGUUCCCGGGCCUUGUACACACCGCCCGUCACACCAUGGGAGUGGGUUGCAAAAGAAGUAGAUAGCUUAACCUUCGGGAGGGCGUUUACCACUUUGUGAUUCAUGACUGGGGUGAAGUCGUAACAAGGUAGGCGUAGCGAG
This 525-nucleotide ribosomal RNA is filed under the name uncultured bacterium. RNAcentral's name for it is "bacterial SSU rRNA". It matches the Rfam family "Bacterial small subunit ribosomal RNA", at positions 985 to 1509 of the family's 1533-position model. The record is from RNAcentral.